UAGCAUUUGCAGCAAUUUGUCUUUCCCAGCUUCGUCCCAGGACAUCCGGGGAAACACGCUUUUGUCUGCACCAUGAAGCGAAGGGUCCAAUAUUAUCCUGCCUGUAGUCCUCGUUGGGGGUCCUGACCGCAGAAAUCAGUAGGUAUGGACGUGGAUGGGACAGGAGGCUGUCACUGUGGCAGAGGCAAUGUUUGAUGGAUAGAAAUGAUAGUGGGAAAACACAGUGUGGAUACAGAGGACAGUGAACAUGAGAGGAGCCUUGGAUAGUGAGACGUGAGGGAGCCAAAUGUCCUAGGAG
Molecule: long non-coding RNA, 298 nt
Filed under: Mus musculus (house mouse)
Lineage: Eukaryota; Metazoa; Chordata; Mammalia; Rodentia; Muridae
Description: ilncRNA-EC36
Source: RNAcentral